UGUGGUGAAUUUCCAACAGUAUACACCAGAUCCCAUCUUCUUCUUAAUCCAUGUCACUAUAGCAUUUAUACAUAAAGCAAAAUUUCAACUCAUAAGAAUGUUUUAAAAGCAAUGUCAUAUCAAUUGAAAGCAAAAUUUGAUGAGCACAUGAUUUUAUGGGCAUUAAAACGAAGAAAUGUUAAAUCCCCAAAUAAAUAAAAAAAUCUCCAUAUAAAUACAAAACUUAAAACGCGAGUAAAACAUAUAUUCACUAAGUUUCGUUGUUUAUGAGAUGUGCGAGAAGAAUCAUUCUGCGAUUCGAUAGAACAAGACAGUUUUUC
RNAcentral lists this long non-coding RNA (320 nucleotides) under Lathyrus oleraceus (garden pea). RNAcentral describes it as "Pisum sativum (pea) long non-coding RNA (PSAT_LNC022584)". Lineage: Eukaryota; Viridiplantae; Streptophyta; Magnoliopsida; Fabales; Fabaceae. The record is from RNAcentral.